This 800-nucleotide ribosomal RNA is filed under the name uncultured bacterium. RNAcentral's name for it is "bacterial SSU rRNA". It matches the Rfam family "Bacterial small subunit ribosomal RNA", at positions 8 to 822 of the family's 1533-position model. The record is from RNAcentral.
AGAGUUUGAUCCUGGCUCAGAAUCAACGCUGGCGGCGUGCCUCAGACAUGCAAGUCGAACGAUUAAAGCUCUCUUCGGAGAGUGCAUAGAGUGGCGCACGGGUGAGUAACACGUAAGUAAUCUACCCUCGAGUGGGGAAUAACGUUCGGAAACGGACGCUAAUACCGCAUAAUGCAGCGACACCGCAAGGUGACAGUUGUUAAAGAUUUAUCGCUUGAGGAGGAGCUUGCGGCAGAUUAGCUAGUUGGUAAGGUAAUGGCUUACCAAGGCUACGAUCUGUAACCGGUCUUAGAGGACGGUCGGUCACACUGACACUGAAUAACGGGUCAGACUCCUACGGGAGGCAGCAGUCGGGAAUUUUGGGCAAUGGGCGAAAGCCUGACCCAGCAACGCCGCGUGAAGGAUGAAGUAUUUCGGUAUGUAAACUUCGAAAGAAUAGGAAGAAUCAAUGACGGUACUAUUUAUAAGGUCCGGCUAACUACGUGCCAGCAGCCGCGGUAAUACGUAGGGACCAAGCGUUGUUCGGAUUUACUGGGCGUAAAGGGCGCGUAGGCGGCGCGGUAAGUCACUUGUGAAAUCUCUGAGCUUAACUCAGAACGGCCAAGUGAUACUGCAGUGCUAGAGUGUGGAAGGGGCAAUCGGAAUUCUUGGUGUAGCGGUGAAAUGCGUAGAUAUCAAGAGGAACACCUGAGGUGAAGACGGGUUGCUGGGCCAACACUGACGCUGAGGCGCGAAAGCCAGGGGAGCAAACGGGAUUAGAUACCCCGGUAGUCCUGGCCCUAAACGAUGAAUACUUGGUG